GAGUUUGAUCAUGGCUCAGAUUGAACGCUGGCGGCAGGCCUAACACAUGCAAGUCGAGCGGUAGAGAGAAGCUUGCUUCUCUUGAGAGCGGCGGACGGGUGAGUAAAGCCUAGGAAUCUGCCUGGUAGUGGGGGAUAACGUUCGGAAACGGACGCUAAUACCGCAUACGUCCUACGGGAGAAAGCAGGGGACCUUCGGGCCUUGCGCUAUCAGAUGAGCCUAGGUCGGAUUAGCUAGUUGGUGAGGUAAUGGCUCACCAAGGCGACGAUCCGUAACUGGUCUGAGAGGAUGAUCAGUCACACUGGAACUGAGACACGGUCCAGACUCCUACGGGAGGCAGCAGUGGGGAAUAUUGGACAAUGGGCGAAAGCCUGAUCCAGCCAUGCCGCGUGUGUGAAGAAGGUCUUCGGAUUGUAAAGCACUUUAAGUUGGGAGGAAGGGCAGUUACCUAAUACGUGAUUGUUUUGACGUUACCGACAGAAUAAGCACCGGCUAACUCUGUGCCAGCAGCCGCGGUA
Molecule: ribosomal RNA, 518 nt
Filed under: Pseudomonas sp.
Lineage: Bacteria; Pseudomonadati; Pseudomonadota; Gammaproteobacteria; Pseudomonadales; Pseudomonadaceae
Description: bacterial SSU rRNA
Rfam family: Bacterial small subunit ribosomal RNA
Source: RNAcentral